UAGGGAAUCUUCCGCAAUGGGCGAAAGCCUGACGGAGCAACGCCGCGUGAGUGAUGAAGGUCUUCGGAUCGUAAAACUCUGUUAUUAGGGAAGAACAAAUGUGUAAGUAACUAUGCACGUCUUGACGGUACCUAAUCAGAAAGCCACGGCUAACUACGUGCCAGCAGCCGCGGUAAUACGUAGGUGGCAAGCGUUAUCCGGAAUUAUUGGGCGUAAAGCGCGCGUAGGCGGUUUUUUAAGUCUGAUGUGAAAGCACACGGCUCAACCGUGGAGGGUCAUUGGAAACUGGAAAACUUGAGUGCAGAAGAGGAAAGUGGAAUUCCAUGUGUAGCAGUGAAAUGCGCAGAGAUAUGGAGGAACACCAGUGGCGAAGGCGACUUUCUGGUCUGUAACUGACGCUGAUGUGCGAAAGCGUGGGGAUCAAACAGG
This 429-nucleotide ribosomal RNA is filed under the name Actinomycetes bacterium. RNAcentral's name for it is "Actinobacteria bacterium partial 16S ribosomal RNA". It matches the Rfam family "Bacterial small subunit ribosomal RNA", at positions 355 to 776 of the family's 1533-position model. The record is from RNAcentral. Lineage: Bacteria; Bacillati; Actinomycetota; Actinomycetes.